Long non-coding RNA from Dermacentor albipictus, 5129 nucleotides. RefSeq lists it as uncharacterized. The record is from RefSeq and is a predicted model, not a curated record. NCBI's taxonomy places the organism in Eukaryota, Metazoa, Arthropoda, Arachnida, Ixodida, Ixodidae.
GAAGAAAAGGACAAAUAUAGCUUUAAAGAUAAAUUAGAAUCCAGUUAACAUUUAAAGUUUUGCAAUCUGAAGGAAAAGUCGUAAGAUGAUGAAAUGGUGGUGUCAGUACCAAUUUCACAACACUAGUGUUACAAGACACGCAACUUCACAUUGAGCCCAGGGAGUAGAGCUCUAAUUAAAACAGGUUUACAGCCAUAAAAUUGGCAAAAUGACAAAAAUAGACAGAGAGCAAUUUCCAUUUAAUUUCGAGCUUCUCUGUUUGUCUCAAGUUGUUUGUUAUACUCCAGCAUGUCAGUCACAUUGAAAAAAGGCAAAUCUGGGAGGUUUCGAAUGUGCGAAGGAGCACUGUAUGAAUUGAUGAGCAGCUGAUUAAAGUACUGUGAAUAGGUAUGCUAAAUACCAUUCACUAUGUAUGAAUGAAUGAAUGUUUGGUUUUUAUUGGCGCAAGGGCCAGGUAUGGCCAAAGAGCGCCAAGCCAGUGUUGAUGAAUUCGCAAUGUAGUUACGAGUUCAAUGAGGUUGAUGUGACGUGGCUGUAAAGGGGCCUUACAAAUAGUCGCUUUAGAGUGCGUAAAAUCUAUCUGUUAUAAGACUAUGUCGAUGAUAAUGACAUGUUCUAUGAGCAAUAAAAUCCAUCGUGAGAGAAUGAUGCAUUAUAAAAGAUAUGUGAGAUGGUAAACAUACCUGGAGCACUACUGCCUCGCCAGAGCCCUUGAAACACAAGGGCCUGGAGGCAUGUGCUAUACAGUAUGACUAUCACAACGGCAUCCUCACGAUAGAGGAAGCGCUACGAAUGUAUGGUACUAAUAACGUGUAGGACAACAUCUCUGAGGAAACCUAGGAGAGUGUUUGUAUUAAAAAGCGGUUCUGGACCGAGAAACAUUACAGUGUUGAUGGUAUGCUAAGGAAAAAAAUGGCUGUGGCUUAGCUAAGGUUGGGCCCAGGAUGCGAAGCAUACUAGCCUUUAUUUUAGUUGUUGAACCACUGUUUAGCCUGGUGAACUGCUGUUGCUUGGCUAUAUUUGGUUCGGCUAGACGAAGAAACAACUCAAGCAGGCGAGUGCACGAGCUGAGACCCGGCUAUGUAGCUACGCGGCCGCAAGCGAGCGCACGAGUUGAGCCUCCGCUUUUGCAGCUGUUAUGACGUCAUAUGGUAGCUACGUGGCCGCGCGCGGCGCAGCAAGGAAGAGCAUGGUUGUGCGGCUAGUAUGCUUCGCAUAAAAUGUCUCCUUCUCUCAGAUUCGGCUUUCUGACACUCCAGGAGGACGUGGAGCAUGCUCAGCCUCUCCCCGCAUCUGCCACAGGUUGGAGGGUCAUUUCCGAUUCGGCUUUCCGACACUCCAGGAGGACGUGGAGCACGGUCAGCCUCUCUCCGCAUCUGCCACAGGUUGGAGGGUCAUUUCCGAUCCUUCCUCACCAAGAAACACAAGAAUGCAGCGGCAAGUGUCCCUCCAAGGAAACAUCACAUGUGCCAGAAAAUUACCUAGUCUAUAUUCUCCCACUCUUUCUUAUCCUUCCUAUUUAUGUCCCUGCCUUAGCUUUUCUAAAAUGCUUCAUCGCCAACAAACCCAAGAAUGCAGCAGCAAGUGUCCCUUCAAGGGAACAUGAUAUGCGACAACAAAUCACCUCGGCUAUAGUCUCCCUCUCCUUUCUUAUCCUUGGUAUCCAUGUGCCUGUGUUCGCUUUUCUGACACUUCCUGAUCAAGAAACCCAAAAAUGCAGCGGCAACUGUCCUCCUAGUCAUGCCAUGUCCAGCCAUGCCCCUGUGCCCUUUCCCAGAUAUGGCCACCACUGUGAUCCAAGUAUCCUGAUUGCCACCUACUCAACUUUCUUGUGUACAGGGCACUACUUUUGUUGGAAAGGUGAACUUUCCCUCUUUCCCUGUAAACCCUAUUGUUUUGUCAGCCGGCUCUGUCAAAAUGGAAGCUUUGAAGCCUCUUUUCUCGUGCAUCGUCACGUUGCACCUAGCAAUGCCUUCUUUAUCUGUUACAUUUAAUUUAGCUAAGCUGAUGUCAUUGUUUUGCUCGGCUGCCAGUGACUCUGUCCACACAUAAGAGCUGAUGUAAGUUCUUUGAGGCCGGUGACAAUGACACCGUCUCGCUUGCGAGUGUGUCAGCUGACUCUCCUUGCAGGCGUGAACUUUGACACAUGCCUUGUGAUAUGCUCUCGUUGAGCUAGUCAGUUGGCAGGAUUUCCACAACUGCUUUUUCAACCCUCGAGCCUAGCUCAGUUUCUGUUGCCGAGUUUACCUCUUUUGCUACUUCUGCUGGAGCGGCUUUUGCAUUUUCAGAUGAAAGCGACGUGAUUUGACGAGCUUGGGAUCGCGUCAACGCCUAUGCUAAGCCCUCUCCAAGUUUCAGCCCCUCCUCACGCAGGAACUGAUUUGACCGAUUCGAGGGAAUGCAAGGGUACUGCAGCGACAAGAAUUUGGAAACUGCAGCCUCAAUCACGAGCUCCCCAAACCGCCCACUGAUUUUGACUUUCACCAUCAGUAGACACAUGCUGUGUUAUUCCACAACCUGUUUAAUCCAUGCUACUUCAUCAGUGAAGUCGUCUACCGUCACACAAGAUGGAUGGACAAUGUCCAUGGUGGCAGCAAUAUCUCGUAGCACCUGGCAUGGUUUUACAUUAAUAUGCAGGUAGUAAAGAUAUGGGCAUAGAAGUUCCGUGUUCUAGUCUCAUUCGUCCCCGUAAAAAAAAACUACCCUAGGCUUCCCGCAGUUCGCAUAAAUAUGUCCAAGUUUGUGGCACUUAUAGAAGAGGAUCAGUCUAAAAGAUUUGGAUUCCCCUUUCUGCUCUUUUUGGAUGGCUUCACCAUUUGACUUCUCUUCGCUCUUUUCUGAUGUCCGUUUCUCCACGUCUACAUGCUCUGGUCAUUUCGUCUGUGAUCCCUUUCUGAACGGAAAUUGUUUCCACAGUCCAUUUUGGCCGUCCCAAUUUUUCAUCUUCGCAGUCAGCUUUCUACGCGUUGCAUACUCUGGCUAAUUCGACUGCCCUUUCCACAGUGUCUUCCUCUGACUUGCACCCACAGCUUCAAAAAUUGUGGGAUGCUUUUGUAAAACUGCUCUAGACACAUACAUUGAAUAAUCAUGUCUCUGCUCUCGUAUGCUUCCACGCUUUUCAACCACUCAACUAGGUUUGCCUUUAAGCCGUAUGAAAACUCCGGAUAUCCCUCACUAUCCUUUUUGCCCGUGCUUCGAAACCUUUGCCGAAAAGCUUUGGCUGAAAGGCGGUACUUUCUCAAAAAGCUAGCCUUAGCCUUAGCCUUCGCAUCAUAAUCAUAUGCAUCUUGCGCUCCAAGUCUGGCAAUUACUUCAGCAGCUUUACACGGCAACAUAGACGGCAACCGCUGUGGCCAUGUACUUGGAGCGAAGUUCAUUUUCUCGCAAGUCCUUUCAAAAUUUCCUAGGAACAACCCUAUGUCGUUCCCAACUUCAAAUGGCUUUAACAGCCUUUCCAUGGAGUAUGGUUCUGCCUCAUUUGAUCGUUCCAGAGCCCUUUCACUCGUUCGAGAAAACUGCAAACAUUUACUUUCAAGGCCAAGUUGCAUUUUUCUUAACUCGCGAUCUUUGUUGCAUUCCGCUCUGUCCUGUUCUUUCUUUCUCUGUCUGUCCCGUUCUCUCUCCCUAUCCCGUCUCUCUCUUCUCCUAAAAAGUGAUAACCCAAUUCCAAUCUCCUCCUCACUGGCCUGUUCGGAAAUCAGCUUUAAUAUUUCCAAUUUCAUCAUUUCCUUGUGUAUUUCUUGGCCCAGUUCCUCACCGACAACCAACAAUUCGUCUCUCAGCAGUAUCCUGAAAUCCAUGAUAGCUGUUUUACUGCCUUGGUCCUGCUUGCUAAACGUGGCUAGGUAAACACAACCUAGCUAACGAUCAACAAUCCAGCUUUCCUACUGUUCUAAACUGAACAACGACAACAUGAAGCCUAGAGAGCCAAAGCAAAACCAUGUACUCACGGCAGACACAGCACCACGUCGCAAAGUCUGUCUCACCGUUGCCAGCUAGUUGUAAGAAUUGGGGUCGGGCAUGUCAAAAUGGGGUAGCUGGCCCAUGCCGUUGUCUGACACAUCCACGCUAAGGACGUUGUUAAAGGGAGAAACACGUUCUCAUCAAGAAUGAGGAGUACUGGGUUUAGUUACAAUAUCUACAUGAAGAGUGGAGAUUGUUACAUCUCAUCAGACUAGCAUGACUGAAGUGAAGCAAACCGAGGUGCUGAAAAAGUUUGCUUAAACCCCCUCUGUCCUCCCUAGAUCCCUAGGCCCGGGAAAACUUCCGCCCCCUUCUUCCAAAUGGAGCGUCCCAAGUCAUCGAAGGGCCUGCGUUGAGGGCAAGGGUUCACACAAUCACUCCCGAACCUUUUUUCACUGAAUACACACAAAGGAAGGGAGCUUCGUAGAUGGGGAUUGCCACGCUUCACUCAAGCUGGCACCUCUCGGUUCCUGGGAUGACACCUCAGUUAGCUGGAGCGUCUGUUAAACGACCGUGGCGGUCACCGGACUCCAUGAGGGAAUGCCUCAGAACACCCCUUUUCAGGAGCUUUCUUGCUCCCAUUGGUUCGUGAAGGCCACAGUGAACCAACGAACAAUACUCUGUCUGCCAAACGUGUCUUGCCUUGCGGGCGCCGCAGGUCUGUCCGAGGGUGAUGCAAUGUCAGCUUCACGAAGCAAUUCGUCGCAGUGGGGCUGGAAAGGCUAGAAGUUCACUACCCCCCGCAGGCCGAUCGUAAUAACAGCCUUCCCAAAAAUGCUGAACACACUUCUUUCUUUAAGGCAUUCUUUCCAUAGGCUUUUUGAAACAUUUGAUGAAUUUCUGUACAAUUUUUGCAAAAUUUCACAGCAAAUCAGAUAUUGAUCAUUUGCUCUGUCUGCACAUUGAUUUGCAUUUCGAUAAAGACUAAAAAUAGGUUGCACAAAAAAGUGCACACAUAAAAUUCUACCUUAUCAUGCAGCAGUUCAGCUUGUACUAGAGAUACAUUGGCUCCUUUUGGGUGGAGAGAGUGAGAGCAGUGCUGUUACACGUUUUUGCUGACUCCCACCCACCUCUCCCACGUUUUUGCUGACUCACUGCAUAAACUCUUGAAAUAUAUCUCAUACAUAUGUUGCAUACAAAAUUAAGCCACCUUCAUUGGCUUGAGU